This is a long non-coding RNA of Girardinichthys multiradiatus, 413 nucleotides long. RefSeq lists it as uncharacterized. NCBI's taxonomy places the organism in Eukaryota, Metazoa, Chordata, Actinopteri, Cyprinodontiformes, Goodeidae. The transcript has 5 exons. The record is from RefSeq and is a predicted model, not a curated record.
AUAAAAGAGCUUCAGCAUCCAAAGAGCGACACUACAGCCUCUUCACUCGUCUCUGAGAAAGCCAGCUGAAGGUGAGAUCACUGUAACCAUGCUGAAGGUAGCACUUGUUCUUGGAUGCCUCCUGAGCCUCAUUUUGGCUGACCCUAUGGAGCACCAGCGUUUUGCCCGCUCUAGUUCUGGUUCUAAUUCUGAUGAGACAACCACCAGGACUACGACCACAGUAGCAGGUGCAACGACUACAUCAACCGCAUUAUCACUGGCCCAGGUCAUUGCCCUUCUUCAACAACUACUAAGGCAGAUAUGAUCAAAUUGGAAGCCUGCUGUUUUACCCAGAAUGCUAAUUCAGUCAACAGUUGGGGAAAUAGUAUUCCUCAUUGUAUGAUAACCUAAAAAAUAAACCAUUUCAAUGCAAA